RNAcentral lists this ribosomal RNA (681 nucleotides) under uncultured bacterium. RNAcentral's name for it is "bacterial SSU rRNA". It matches the Rfam family "Bacterial small subunit ribosomal RNA", at positions 8 to 731 of the family's 1533-position model. The record is from RNAcentral.
AGAGUUUGAUCAUGGCUCAGGAUGAACGCUGGCGGUAUGCUUAACACAUGCAAGUCGAACGGAUGUUUUCGGACAUUAGUGGCGGACGGGUGAGUAACGCGUGAGAAUCUAGCUUCAGGUUGGGGACAACAGUUGGAAACGACUGCUAAUACCGAAUAUGCCGAGAGGUGAAAGAUUUAUUGCCUGAAGAAGAGCUCGCGUCUGAUUAGCUAGUUGGUGGGGUAAGAGCUUACCAAGGCGACGAUCGGUAGCUGGUCUGAGAGGACGAUCAGCCACACUGGGACUGAGACACGGCCCAGACUCCUACGGGAGGCAGCAGUGGGGAAUUUUCCGCAAUGGGCGAAAGCCUGACGGAGCAAUACCGCGUGAGGGAAGAAGGCUCUUGGGUUGUAAACCUCUUUUCUUAGGGAAGAAAAAAAUGACGGUACCUAAGGAAUAAGCAUCGGCUAACUCCGUGCCAGCAGCCGCGGUAAUACGGAGGAUGCAAGCGUUAUCCGGAAUGAUUGGGCGUAAAGCGUCCGCAGGUGGUUUAUCAAGUUUGCGGUUAAAGGUUCUGGCUCAACCAGAGACAAGCCGUGAAAACUGAUAGACUAGAGUAUGGUAGGGGCAGAGGGAAUUCCCAGUGUAGCGGUGAAAUGCGUAGAGAUUGGGAAGAACACCGGUGGCGAAAGCGCUCUGCUA